This is a long non-coding RNA of Balaenoptera acutorostrata (minke whale), 2700 nucleotides long. RefSeq lists it as uncharacterized. Lineage: Eukaryota; Metazoa; Chordata; Mammalia; Artiodactyla; Balaenopteridae. The record is from RefSeq and is a predicted model, not a curated record. The transcript has 2 exons.
GCGGGAGGGGAGGAUUGGGGGGAACCGCAGCUAGAGGAACCGGCAUCCCCUCCAUCCAGCUUUCGGUUGCUGGAAAAGAACAAAAGCAGUUGACAGGUGAACCUGAAGAAUUGGUUUCCGGCAGGUGCCCCCAAGGUGCGGUGACACGUUUCCACCACCUUCCCUGCACGUGCCUUUUGGGAGCAGGUCCUCUAUUGCUGCAUUUGGUGCUGCUUCUAGGAAGCUGUCCCUGUCCUGCUUUUUCAUUUGGUUUGUUUUGCUCCAUCUCUUCCCUCUCCUCCUCAGUUCUGGCUCGUGAGGUUGGCCUCUCAAAGACAGAAUAUUAUUUUGAAGUUCCAUGGGAUCUUUUAUUGAAAGGUUAUCCACUGAAAAGUUGGCAGGUAGAGUCCCACUGGAAAACAACCAAAACUUUGAGCAGGUUUAAAAUCUGAGAUAGAACCGUUCCCUUGUCACCGUUUCCAGGAAGGACCACUGGGCACUACUGUAUAAGGGUCUGUUCAUUGGUGACAAUGGUACUUCCUUGGAGAAAGCACCUGUGGCCUUGGCGGGAAUCCCACAGCAGUCCACUGUGACACUUGUCUAAACAGUGAACACGGAUGAAUUAAUGAUGACCGGCCACUUCUUUUGAAGCAUUAUUUGAAUAUUAGGACUGGGAAGUGUAUGCAGCCCAGGAUGUUUUACUUUAUCUCCUUUUAAACGAGGCUGAAGAAGCAGAUACAGGAGUUAAAUUUUCUUUGAAAAGACAAGUGACAGCCCUGGAGCAGAAAGGAGCCAUACAUUCCUACUGCGUAAGAGCGAAUUAAUUGCCUGAUGUCCAUGGUGACCGACACCGUAUGAGGAAUCCAACCAAACCAUGGCACUCCAGGAACUUACAGAAACAUGAAUGGCUACACAUUUGAGAUGAGGGUCUAAAGGAUGCGGAACAUCAAGCAAGAUGUGGGGCAUUGCUGGAGGCACCCCACCUCUUCUGUCUGCUUGUCUGAGGUAUGAGCCCCAUGCUGUUCCUGUGGAAGACGUGUUUUACACUUGAGCCCUUGAGCGUGUUAGCUGUAAGAGAUUCUUUAUUUGCAAAAUAAGGGAGAGAAGUGGAGAAGUCUUAAAUCCAUUAAAAUGGACCAGCAGUAAGUAAUAAGGAAACUUCCAGAAUGGCAUCCUUCUCCAUACUCCUGGUCUUGGCUUGGGGUCACCUUCUCCCAUCAGUGUGGAGCACGCAACGGCAUCCCUUUGGGCGGUCCUCUCCAUGGUGAUGUGCACCUGCUUGAUCCAUCUUGUGCAGAGAUUUUGCAGGCUACCUGCUCUGUUUCCACGAAGGCGGGAAGGCAGGUCCCUCGCUCACCUGGUUUUUAGGGGAGCGAAAACGUGAGUGACUGCAGAAGCCAAAAGCUCAUCAGGAUCAUUGUGAAGCAGAGGUUUCACUUCUAAGGCCCCCUCACCCUCUGCAAGUUCAUCUCUUGCCUCUAGUAGCCGUGGGCAUGGGCGAUCCUUCCCUGGAGCAGCCCUCAGACCCUGCUGACUGCAGGGCUUCCUGUGCAGGGGUGGGUGCCCGUGACUAGAUGCCAUUCACCUUAGGCGGCUCCACCUGUGGGCUCCUGCCGUGCUGCUGGCGGCUUCAAGGUCUGCCUCAUUGCAGCAUGUGAAGCAAAGGCUUUUCUCUAAUCAUCAGUUUGACUGCUUCAGGUAAGUCUCACAGCUACUGGACCCCAAACGUGUCAGGACCUUUAGCAUCUAAUAUUAAAACAAACAGCAGGGAAGGCAGCGGUUCAGACUGCUUCGCCAGACUUGCCCACGUCGGCCCAGAAUGCUCUGGGGGACGAGGACUUGGGCAGCCUUCUUGUCUGGGUUACAAGGCUCAGCUCAUCACUGCUAGUUUACACACCAACGUUCUCUCUCUCACACACUAGCAUUAACAAUGCGUCGGAACCUCAACUCUUAAGUCCUAAAGGAGAGUCCUGGUGAGAGGUCCCCAUCCAUGAAGCAAGAAGGCAGUAACAGGAAAGCAGUUACCCGUCCCUGCCUGGGCUAAGCGACAACUCUGGAUUUAUUAAUGCCGAGAGCUCUCUUCCAGCUCUGCAGAACCUUAGGGCUGGAAGGAUUUGCUAGCCACGCGUGCAGAUGCGGGCAGAGGGCUUCACCUGCUUGGACCCUGGAGGAAUUAGUUUCUGGGGCAACUGCUGAGCCUCAUCUAGCUGAGACUCGGCACCGUGCAAACCUCUGAGUUUCUAACAAACAGGCAUGAACUACAGGAAACAUGAAUGAACUUUCCACUUUCAGACAACUAACCAGUGUACAGCAAAAUUGUACAGAAAUGAAUGGAUAAUGCUAUACGAGCCAACAAAGAUGCCAAAGACUGCUGAGAAACAGUUAUCUCUUGCAAACAGCAAUGUUCAGAUAGGAGAAAUAAACAUGAACGCAACAAGCCAAGACAUCAGAUGUUGAAACAUGCCUUUUAUCUCAGAAUCUCAUCUCAAGCAAGACCAACCCUCUCCCCACCCCCAAAAUCAGUAGGAAAGGCAAUGCCUUACAUCACCCUCCCCACCACAAACCUACCCAGUGAUGACAGAUUAAGAGGGAGGAAUUACGACCAUAGCCUCAUCUUUCUCCGAGGACCUGACACAAGGCAAAGACACAUUUGCAAUUGGCACUGUUAUUUUAUUAGUACGAGUAUACUGAAACAAUAAACUUGUACUGGUAUACAGACAA